This 598-nucleotide ribosomal RNA is filed under the name Colletotrichum gloeosporioides. RNAcentral describes it as "eukaryotic LSU rRNA". The stretch from base 226 to 379 matches the Rfam family "5.8S ribosomal RNA". Lineage: Eukaryota; Fungi; Ascomycota; Sordariomycetes; Glomerellales; Glomerellaceae. The record is from RNAcentral.
GGAAGUAAAGUCGUAACAAGGUCUCCGUUGGUGAACCAGCGGAGGGAUCAUUACUGAGUUUACGCUCUACAACCCUUUGUGAACAUACCUAUAACUGUUGCUUCGGCGGGUAGGGUCUCCGCGACCCUCCCGGCCUCCCGCCUCCGGGCGGGUCGGCGCCCGCCGGAGGAUAACCAAACUCUGAUUUAACGACGUUUCUUCUGAGUGGUACAAGCAAAUAAUCAAAACUUUUAACAACGGAUCUCUUGGUUCUGGCAUCGAUGAAGAACGCAGCGAAAUGCGAUAAGUAAUGUGAAUUGCAGAAUUCAGUGAAUCAUCGAAUCUUUGAACGCACAUUGCGCCCGCCAGCAUUCUGGCGGGCAUGCCUGUUCGAGCGUCAUUUCAACCCUCAAGCUCUGCUUGGUGUUGGGGCCCUACAGCCGAUGUAGGCCCUCAAAGGUAGUGGCGGACCCUCCCGGAGCCUCCUUUGCGUAGUAACUUUACGUCUCGCACUGGGAUCCGGAGGGACUCUUGCCGUAAAACCCCCCAAUUUUCCAAAGGUUGACCUCGGAUCAGGUAGGAAUACCCGCUGAACUUAAGCAUAUCAAUAAGCGGAGGA